RNAcentral lists this transfer RNA (90 nucleotides) under Planctomycetota bacterium. RNAcentral describes it as "tRNA-Ser". It matches the Rfam family "tRNA". From Rfam's summary of the family: Transfer RNA (tRNA) molecules are approximately 80 nucleotides in length. Their secondary structure includes four short double-helical elements and three loops (D, anti-codon, and T loops). Lineage: Bacteria; Pseudomonadati; Planctomycetota. The record is from RNAcentral. RNAcentral also lists the same sequence under 1 other name.
GGAGAGGUGGCCGAGUGGUCGAAGGCGCACGCUUGGAAAGCGUGUAUACCGGAAACGGUAUCGCAGGUUCAAAUCCUGUCCUCUCCGCCA